Molecule: long non-coding RNA, 889 nt
Organism: Bos taurus (domestic cattle)
Lineage: Eukaryota; Metazoa; Chordata; Mammalia; Artiodactyla; Bovidae
Source: Ensembl
GCCAGGCUGCAAACAUACAAGCACACAGACCUGCGCACUAGAACAUAAACAGGGAUAUUUAAUUUCUUCCUUUUAAUUUUUUUUUUGCACACUAAUAAAUAAACUACUGCAACAACAACAGAAAAAGCAAGCGGAAUCCAAAUAUCCUCUCGGUUGCCAUUUGGUUAUAUAAGAAGGACGAAUUAAGGCGAGCUGGCGGUAAAGAGUCGCUCCAAAUCCGAGCCCCUGAACCGGCCUUAAAUCAAAAGGGAAAAAGUGGGGCAGAGUUCUGCCAGCAGCAAACAUGAUCAGCUUCUGGGGAGAGGACUGUCACAGGUCACAGAACUCGGCCCAGCUAAAAGUCCGCAGCCCCUGCACACCUCCGGGAACCCUUAUUCGUUGUUGUUUUGCAGGGAUGGGCUCCAGGCAGCUUCCUUUGUAAGGUGCCCCCCACCCCCAGCCCGCGGGUCGAGCUUCUGGGGCAGGGAGCAAACACCCGCCCCAAGGGACUGGACCACCAGCGUCCCCUUGCCCAGGAAUUUAGGAUUGGGGUGGAGAAAAAGAAAACAGUGUUUAUGAAGAGCCAGAAAGCGUUCUGUGAGAUACACUUCGAUUCCUGCUGCAGCAAGAUCCCACAUGCCUCGGAGCAACUAAGACCGUGUACCACCACUAUUGAGCCUGUGCUCCAGAGCCCAGGAGCUGCAAACACUGAGCCCACGUGCCACAACUAGUGAAGCCCACGUGGCCUAGAGCCUGUGCUCCACAACGAGAGAAGUCACCACAGUGAGAAGCCCACACACCACAACUAGAAUAGCCCCCGUUCUCUGCAACCAGAGAAAAGCCCAUGCAGCAAUGAAGAUUCAGUACAGCCAAAAUAAAUGAAUAUAAUUAUUAAAAAUGGUUUUAAAAA